RNAcentral lists this ribosomal RNA (511 nucleotides) under uncultured Enterobacterales bacterium. RNAcentral's name for it is "bacterial SSU rRNA". It matches the Rfam family "Bacterial small subunit ribosomal RNA", at positions 29 to 528 of the family's 1533-position model. Lineage: Bacteria; Pseudomonadati; Pseudomonadota; Gammaproteobacteria; Enterobacterales. The record is from RNAcentral.
AUUGAACGCUGGCGGCAGGCCUAACACAUGCAAGUCGAACGGUAGCACAGAGGAGCUUGCUCCUUGGGUGACGAGUGGCGGACGGGUGAGUAAUGUCUGGGAAACUGCCCGAUGGAGGGGGAUAACUACUGGAAACGGUAGCUAAUACCGCAUAACGUCGCAAGACCAAAGAGGGGGACCUUCGGGCCUCUUGCCAUCGGAUGUGCCCAGAUGGGAUUAGCUAGUAGGUGGGGUAACGGCUCACCUAGGCGACGAUCCCUAGCUGGUCCGAGAGGAUGACCAGCCACACUGGAACUGAGACACGGUCCAGACUCCUACGGGAGGCAGCAGUGGGGAAUAUUGCACAAUGGGCGCAAGCCUGAUGCAGCCAUGCCGCGUGUAUGAAGAAGGCCUUCGGGUUGUAAAGUACUUUCAGCGAGGAGGAAGGCGUUGUGGUUAAUAACCGCAACGAUUGACGUUACUCGCAGAAGAAGCACCGGCUAACUCCGUGCCAGCCGCCGCGGUAAAAGGG